Molecule: ribosomal RNA, 423 nt
Filed under: uncultured bacterium
Lineage: Bacteria
Description: bacterial SSU rRNA
Rfam family: Bacterial small subunit ribosomal RNA
Source: RNAcentral
GGGAAUAUUGGACAAUGGGCGCAAGCCUGAUCCAGCCAUGCCGCGUGUGUGAAGAAGGCCUUCGGGUUGUAAAGCACUUUUGUACGGGAAGAAAAGCAUCCGGUUAAUACCCGGGUGUCAUGACGGUACCGUAAGAAUAAGCACCGGCUAACUCCGUGCCAGCAGCCGCGGUAAUAAGGGGGGGGCAAGCGUUGUUCGGAUUUACUGGGCGUAAAGGGCGCGUAGGCGGUUCGUUAAGUCGGAUGUGAAAACUCUGGGCUCAACCCAGAGCCCGCAUCCGAUACUGACGGGCUAGAGUGCGAGAGGGGAAAGCGGAAUUCCUGGUGUAGCGGUGAAAUGCGUAGAUAUCAGGAGGAACACCGGCGGCGAAGGCGGCUUUCUGGAUCGCAACUGACGCUGAGGCGCGAAAGCUAGGGGAGCAAA